Non-coding RNA from Helianthus annuus (common sunflower), 100 nucleotides. NCBI's taxonomy places the organism in Eukaryota, Viridiplantae, Streptophyta, Magnoliopsida, Asterales, Asteraceae. The record is from Rfam.
GUUACAGCUGUCUCUGAUUCGCUUGGUGCAGGUCGGGAACGGUAUCGCCGGUGGUACCUGAUCCCGCCUUGCAUCAAGUGAAUCGGAAACCGCCGUGAAG